RNAcentral lists this transfer RNA (86 nucleotides) under Meiothermus ruber. RNAcentral describes it as "tRNA-Leu". It matches the Rfam family "tRNA". Rfam says of the family: Transfer RNA (tRNA) molecules are approximately 80 nucleotides in length. Their secondary structure includes four short double-helical elements and three loops (D, anti-codon, and T loops). Further hydrogen bonds mediate the characteristic L-shaped molecular structure. tRNAs have two regions of fundamental functional importance: the anti-codon, which is responsible for specific mRNA codon recognition, and the 3' end, to which the tRNAs corresponding amino acid is attached (by aminoacyl-tRNA synthetases). tRNAs cope with the degeneracy of the genetic code in two manners: having more than one tRNA (with a specific anti-codon) for a particular amino acid; and 'wobble' base-pairing, i.e. permitting non-standard base-pairing at the 3rd anti-codon position. RNAcentral also lists the same sequence under 10 other names. Lineage: Bacteria; Thermotogati; Deinococcota; Deinococci; Thermales; Thermaceae. The record is from RNAcentral.
GCCGGGAUGGCGGAAUUGGUAGACGCACCCGACUCAAAAUCGGACGGUUAACAGCCGUGUGGGUUCGAGUCCCAUUCCCGGCACCA